Molecule: long non-coding RNA, 154 nt
Organism: Telopea speciosissima
Lineage: Eukaryota; Viridiplantae; Streptophyta; Magnoliopsida; Proteales; Proteaceae
Exons: 2
Source: RefSeq, a predicted model, not a curated record
AUGCGGUUCAAAUCAGAAAUUAAUGAGUAUUAAAAUGCCAUCAGAUUUCAUAAAUAAUAUAAGAAUACUAAUUUGAAGCAGAAAAUUAAAUAUGAUCUUAAAAUAGAGUAGAACUAGAAAUCCAACUUGAAGUAGGACUCUAAGAAAUCAGCAC